CAUGCAAGUCGAGGGGCAGCAUGAUUUGUAGCAAUACAGAUUGAUGGCGACCGGCGCACGGGUGAGUAACGCGUAUGCAACUUACCUAUCAGAGGGGGAUAGCCCGGCGAAAGUCGGAUUAAUACCCCAUAAAACAGGGGUCCCGCAUGGGAAUAUUUGUUAAAGAUUCAUCGCUGAUAGAUAGGCAUGCGUUCCAUUAGGCAGUUGGCGGGGUAACGGCCCACCAAACCGACGAUGGAUAGGGGUUCUGAGAGGAAGGUCCCCCACAUUGGUACUGAGACACGGACCAAACUCCUACGGGAGGCAGCAGUGAGGAAUAUUGGUCAAUGGCCGAGAGGCUGAACCAGCCAAGUCGCGUGAAGGAAGAAGGAUCUAUGGUUUGUAAACUUCUUUUAUAGGGGAAUAAAGUGGAGGACGUGUCCUUUUUUGUAUGUACCCUAUGAAUAAGCAUCGGCUAACUCCGUGCCAGCAGCCGCGGUAAUACGGAGGAUGCGAGCGUUAUCCGGAUUUAUUGGGUUUAAAGGGUGCGUAGGUGGUGAUUUAAGUCAGCGGUGAAAGUUUGUGGCUCAACCAUAAAAUUGCCGUUGAAACUGGGUUACUUGAGUGUGUUUGAGGUAGGCGGAAUGCGUGGUGUAGCGGUGAAAUGCAUAGAUAUCACGCAGAACUCCGAUUGCGAAGGCAGCUUACUAAACCAUAACUGACACUGAAGCACGAAAGCGUGGGGAUCAAACAGGAUUAGAUACCCUGGUAGUCCACGCAGUAAACGAUGAUUACUAGGAGUUUGCGAUACAAUGUAAGCUCUACAGCGAAAGCGUUAAGUAAUCCACCUGGGGAGUACGCCGGCAACGGUGAAACUCAAAGGAAUUGACGGGGGCCCGCACA
This 882-nucleotide ribosomal RNA is filed under the name uncultured bacterium. Its description in RNAcentral is "bacterial SSU rRNA". It matches the Rfam family "Bacterial small subunit ribosomal RNA", at positions 54 to 927 of the family's 1533-position model. The record is from RNAcentral.